Non-coding RNA from Dallia pectoralis (Alaska blackfish), 74 nucleotides. The record is from the annotation of a GenBank genome assembly. NCBI's taxonomy places the organism in Eukaryota, Metazoa, Chordata, Actinopteri, Esociformes, Umbridae.
GUUGGUAUAGCUCAGUGGUAGAGUACAAGCUUUGUAUGUAUGAUGUCCUGGGUUCAAUCCCCAGGUUGCUGUUG